This 468-nucleotide ribosomal RNA is filed under the name uncultured bacterium. RNAcentral describes it as "partial 16S ribosomal RNA". It matches the Rfam family "Bacterial small subunit ribosomal RNA", at positions 28 to 507 of the family's 1533-position model. The record is from RNAcentral.
GACGAACGCUGGCGGCGUGCUUAACACAUGCAAGUCGAACGGAAAGGCCCUGCUUUUGUGGGGUUCUCGAGUGGCGAACGGGUGAGUAACACGUGAGUAACCUGCCCUUGACUUUGGGAUAACUUCAGGAAACUGGGGCUAAUACCGGAUAGGAGCUCCUGCUCCAUGGUGGGGGUUGGAAAGUUUCGGCUGUUGGGGAUGGACUCGCGGCUUAUCAGCUUGUUGGUGGGGUAGUGGCUUACCAAGGCUUUGACGGGUAGCCGGCCUGAGAGGGUGACCGGCCACAUUGGGACUGAGAUACGGCCCAGACUCCUACGGGAGGCAGCAGGGGGGAAUAUUGCACAAUGGGCGGACGCCUGAUGCAGCAACGCCGCGUGCGGGAUGACGGCCUUCGGGUUGUAAACCGCUUUCGCCUGUGACGAAGCGUGAGUGACGGUAAUGGGUAAAGAAGCACCGGCUAACUACGUG